RNAcentral lists this long non-coding RNA (943 nucleotides) under Apteryx rowi (Okarito brown kiwi). Its description in RNAcentral is "lncRNA (ENSARWG00000018733.1)". Lineage: Eukaryota; Metazoa; Chordata; Aves; Apterygiformes; Apterygidae. The record is from RNAcentral.
CUGCGUUUCCCACUUUUCUGCGGCGUUUGUGCUCCGCUUGGCGUGAACCUGGGCCUCACGAUCGCCCUUGUUUUACUGGGAGCAGCGAUAAAAGUGCAGCUUCCCGAGAAGCUGGAGAUGUGCCAGCUGGUUUUGUGGGCAGCGUAACCAGAAGCAGAAUGAAGUGAUCGGUCCUCAGCAAAAGGCUCCCGUCAGAGCUCAGGCCGGACCCUGCCGCGGGGACAUCCACGGGGUCAGCGUCUCGUGAUGGGCAGACRUCAGAAGGGCAAAUUUUUCAUAAUGAAAAGCAGAAAAGAAAUUUAACAUGUUUUCCCAGUGAACAUUUUCCUGAAGAAAAAGUCUUUCAGCAAAAGAAGAAAACUGGGGAAAUGAAAAAUAAUAUUCUCCAAGUAGCAGGCUUCAGAGCCGGUACGAUGUUUGCACUCUGUUAAUUCAAGGGUUCCUGCAGAAUGAAAAGGAACAAGUAUCUCCCCUCAUCGGUGAGCUGUCCUGAUUGCAGUGGAAACAGAUGUGCUGCGGCUCUCUGAACCCGGCCUCGCAGAAACUGCCUCCAGCCAAACAGUAGCUGCAGCAAGAGCCGCGCGUUCGCCGCUCGCCCCGCGACACCCCGCGUUCUGCUCACCUACCCGCCACUGAGACUUCAAAGUCUAAUUGAAGUAUUUAAAAGUCAGAUUUUUAACACAUGCAUUUUCUUAAAGAAAAAAGAUGGAAAAAGGAAAUUAAAUUCUCUCUGAGAUUACAUGGUUGGAACAACAGCAGUAAAGGAAAAUGCACAAGUUGGAGUGGUUUCUAAUGCUAAGCUGGCUACAUUGGAUAUCUUAUAUAUUUAAUUAUAUACAUUUGAUACCAUGCAGAAAUAUUAUUAAAUUUCACACUUAAACAGGGACAAACAAAUCUAAAAAAUUUAUUACAUAUGUUCAGUGUGGCUGAAUGAACAUUCCUG